AGCUGUCCGCUGCGUUCGCGUGAGUUCUAUAUUUCCUUGAACCGAUGCUCUCUGAGCAAGGGCUUGGAACAUUGCUCGGCUGGUGUGAUCGUCUCGCGUCAGAUGAACCCGAAGUCCUGCUGACCUCGCCCACCUGAAUCCCUGGGUUCAGGAAUGCGGCUCACGGCUCGCGGUGGACACCUU
Molecule: non-coding RNA, 183 nt
Filed under: Paucibacter sediminis
Lineage: Bacteria; Pseudomonadati; Pseudomonadota; Betaproteobacteria; Burkholderiales; Sphaerotilaceae
Also listed under: 1 other name
Description: Paucibacter sp. S2-9 6S RNA
Rfam family: 6S / SsrS RNA
About the family: E. coli 6S RNA was the first non coding RNA to be sequenced, but its function was unknown until recently.
Source: RNAcentral